Molecule: long non-coding RNA, 485 nt
Organism: Austrofundulus limnaeus
Lineage: Eukaryota; Metazoa; Chordata; Actinopteri; Cyprinodontiformes; Rivulidae
Exons: 4
Source: RefSeq, a predicted model, not a curated record
CUCCAUGUGAGGCGGCGUUCACCGAUUAGGAGAGUGUGUUCAACUUCAUCAACAUGCAGCGAGUGUGUGCUGGCUGUAGCCUGAGGAGCACCGUGUACGAGUCUGCGAGCACUGGAGAUUGAUGGUUUUCCUGGAAGACCAGCCUCGCUGUUCUCCUGCUGCAGAGAGCCCACUGGGACAUGUUUACCAGGAAAUGCCUUUUAAAUUUCACACGGAGAACGAACAGAACCUGUUGGCAAAUCGGACCGCGACAGAAAACAGAUGACUGGAUCGAUGUCUGUGGAUGUUGCUGUGGAACCCUGUCAGAGGCCGUGUUGAGGAUUAAAGCUCUGUGGUGGUGAAAUUUGGCCAWAACGAGAGGAAGAAUGACAACGAAUGCAUAAAUUUUACUCCAAAAACAGACAGUUAUGUGCCCUCACAGCAUGCGGUGAUGGAGGCGCACUUAUGUGAAACUUCUCACACAUGAAUACACGCUCUGACAAACA